This 443-nucleotide ribosomal RNA is filed under the name uncultured bacterium. RNAcentral's name for it is "partial 16S ribosomal RNA". It matches the Rfam family "Bacterial small subunit ribosomal RNA", at positions 339 to 795 of the family's 1533-position model. The record is from RNAcentral.
CUACGGGAUGCAGCAGUCGAGAAUAUUCGACAAUGCACGAAAGUGUGAUCGAGCGACGCCGCGUGCGGGAUGAAUGCCUUCGGGUUGUAAACCGCUUUUAUAAGGGAAGAACUUAGGUGACGGUACCUUAUGAAUAAGGAGUUGCUAACUACGUGCCAGCAGCAGCGGUAAUACGUAGACUCCAAGCGUUAUCCGGAUUUAUUGGGCGUAAAGGGUGUGUAGGCGGAUAUGAUAGUCAGGUGUUAAAUCGCAGAGCUCAACUCUGCGGCCGCACUUGAAACGUCAUAUCUAGAAACAGGUAGAGGUUAGCGGAACUCAUAGUGUAGCAGUGAAGUGCGUUGAUAUUAUGGGGAACACCAAAGGCGAAGGCAGCUAACUGGGCCUUGUUUGACGCUGAGGCACGAAAGCGUGGGUAGCGAAUGGGAUUAGAUACCCUUGUAGUC